AAGAGCUUAUCGCUCACGGCAGGUUCAUGAGAGACAUGAUUCAGCAUCCUCAAUGUGGUACUGGUACCGAAAUGACUCAGUAACUACACAUGUUGUGGACCCGUGGAGAAAAGAGGCCAAACUGAAGGUAGGUUUGAGGAGGUGAGUGAUAAACGCAGAUAAACGAAAGAUGCGCACGUGGGUGGAAGAAGUCAGUGGAGUUGAAGAUGUAAAACAAAACAAAAGUGGCAAAAAAAAGGUGCAUUUAAUGAUUAAGAGGGUUCCCCGCACAUAUAAACACGCAUCAAUGUGGAAUUUAUGAUGGCUGUUCAUAUUCAUCAUAACACAACACAAAUGUAAUAGUGGAAGCCAUUUGAGAAGCAUUUUUGUAACAUCUCUCAGUGCGUUUAAAUACACCACUGUUCAAAAGUUUAGGGUAAGCAUGGCUUUUUGUGAAAGAAAUUAUUAUUAUUAUCAUUAUUUUUUUAGCAGGGAUGCAUUCGUUGAUCAAAAGUGGCUGCAAACAUUUAUACGAUUCCUAUUCAUCGAAGAAUCCUGAAAAAAAGUAAAAUGCUCCUGCAAAUACAGAAUUGCUGGAAUAACGAAGACGAACGAGGAAAUCCAAGAUACAAAUUCUGAUGCAAGAAGAGACAAAGUCAUGUGACACAUUUUACUAACUUAUAAUAAUCCUAUUUAUGAGAAAUUAUCUCUGUCUUUUGUUUUUUGUGAUAUUGGCAUACUACCAUUUAAGUUUGACUUUAUUUUUUUGCUAUAGGUUAUAGACCACGCUCUGGGCAGCUUUGCGUGACUUCUGGAUGUUAAACUGAGCUCUUGGCUUUGAGAACUGAAUUCCAAGGGUGUCUUCUUCAUAUUCAGCCCACGGAGUUCAGUUCUUAAGUUUGGAUGCCCUCUGCAUCGGCUCUGACCCGCGACCCGAACAAGCACGCCUGUGUCUGGACCAGAAGCUGGAUAUAAAUAAUGUCGACACAAAAUGACACUUUGUUGGUUUCAACCACAAGAUCUCUCAUUUGUACAACUGGACCGUCUCUGCUUAAUGGAGUGCAGCAGGGAAACAUCAAAACUAGUUUCAGCACGCCAGGUCCAUCGCCAGUAUUUGUAUUGGAAAUAUACAGUAUAUUUUUGUAGUAAUGGGGACAAUCUUAGCAGAAUCAAGAAUCUGAUUCAAGAGUCUGUGAAAGCUCAUUGUUUGGUUAAUGGUUGAGUUGUCGGAAGCUUAGUGACGUUGAAUGUCUUGAUUCAGGUUUUGAAGGUCUUGGUCUUGUCUCAGUCUCGUCUCUGUCUCAGACUAAAAGAGGACACAGUAUUUUAUUUUAUGACACUUGAAAAAAAUAAAAUUUCUUUGGAGUUUUUGUGAAGGGAGUGUGAUGCAACAUCGGCCUGCUUUAUAGUCUGCUUUUUAGUCUCGGCCAAUUGUCAAAGCUCUUGUCUCCUUUAUUAUUCUUUUUGUUGAUAUUAUGUGAUGUACGUAUGCUUUCUCUUUUGUAUGUUCCUGUUCUCAACUUGAA
Non-coding RNA from Pimephales promelas (fathead minnow), 1505 nucleotides. NCBI's taxonomy places the organism in Eukaryota, Metazoa, Chordata, Actinopteri, Cypriniformes, Leuciscidae. The record is from RefSeq and is a predicted model, not a curated record.